AGAGAUGGGUCUGUCUGCGGACCGCAAGAGAGGGGCGUGCCGUUAAGGGGCGUAACUUUUAGCAGGGGGCGUAACUUUAAGUUGUCCAAGUUACACAGAACCACGCGAGACGUCAGGACGAGAUGUUGUCAUUCUGUCUUCUCUUCUGCCCGCAUAGAGAUACGGCGGCUAAAGGCGUUAUUAAAGUUGCUCAUCCAAGCGCCCUCAUGUUUGUUCGUACUAAUUUUAAUGGACGGGAAGCCGACUGACGAACAUCCUUUUCCCGAGAAAUGGUUCGGCUACGACACAUGUUGAGAAGUCACGCCAGGGGCUGAAUUAAGGUCGACCGUUUCAGCUGCAUUGAUGUGAAGUGAUGCAGUGGACAACUUGUGAGGGUGAUACCAUCCACAUGCACCUUAACUGUGAUGCAGAAAUACAAUACACUCUUAAAUGAAUGUGUUAAAUUAACACAUCUUGUGUCUAGUUAAGGACAACACAUCUAGUGUGUUGUCCUUAAUUUAACACAUCUCUGUGUUAUUUUUGGAACAACACACUGUGUUGUUUUAACACAUCUUGUGUUGUCCCUUUUAUUUUUUAUGAACUUAAAUGACACUUAAUGUGUUAAAAACAACACAUAAUGUGUUAAAUAGUUUAACACAAAGCAAUGUGUUAAAAUUAACACAUCUAGGGUGUGUUAAUUUUAACACAUUGCUUUUUGUUAAACUAUUUAACACAUUAUGUGUUAAUUUUAACACAUUAUGUGUCAUUUCGUGCUGAUUUAGAGUUCAUAUAAAUAAAAGGGACAACACAAGAUGUGUUAAAACAACACAAAGUGUGUUGUCCUUAACUAGACACAAGAUGUGUUAAUUUAACACAUUCGUUUUAAGAGUGUAGGAUGAUCCAUCUGUCUACACUUCAAAAUCACAACUCAACCUUAAACAUCCCAUAUCUGUUAUGGUAAAACAAUGUGGCGGUUUUCCAGACAGGGCUUAUACUGUUCCCGGGCUAAAAUGCAUGUUUGAGCUACUGUAAUUAAGAAAACACCUUGUACUGACACAUCUCAACAUAUAUCAUUGCCAUUGUUUUGUUUCAAGAUGCACACCAGUCUUGUUUUGUAAGGUUUGUUUGUAAAAACUAAAAUGUCCUAAUAUAAGUGCCCAGUCCUGGUUUAAUCUAAACCAUUGGUGACCAAACCUGUGUCUUGAGAUCUACUGUCCUGCAGAGUUCAGCUCCAACCCCAAUCAAACACACCUGAACCUGCCAAUCAAGCAUUUCAGGGCAACCUUAAAAUUAUAGUCAGGUGUGUUUAAAGCUGGGUUAGAACUAAAAUAUGCAGGAGGGUAGAUCUCCAGGAACAGGGUUGGUCACCCCUGAUCUAAACAAAGGGUUUCCAAACUGUGUCCUGCAAAGUUUAGCUCUAACCCUAAUCAAACACACCUGAAGCAGCCAAUUAAGGUCUUACUAAGCAUACUAGAAACUUACUGGCAGGUGCUCUGAUGCAAGUAAGAGCUAAACUCUGCAGGACACCGGCCCUCCAGGACUGAGUUUGGGUACCCCUGACUAAGCCCUGCCUGGGAAACUGCACCAAUGUGUUGAGCUGGCACCAUUGGACAUUACUGCUGCUGAGAAACAAUCACUUUCUCAGCUCUACACAGGGUUGACAUUGGAUGCAUUAUUAUUAUAAAAUGCAUUCAUGUGCACUUUACCAAUACUGUACAUACAUCAACAGCUUCCAGCUAUACACUUGAGAUCAGCUCCUGAUGCCUCUCAUAAUGCUGUGUUAUAAUUUAUUGCAGGGUGAUCUUGCUGAAAGGAUAUUUUUAUAAACCUUUACAAUGUCACCAGAUGUUACCUGUUGUGAAUAAUUAUUUUAUAAACCUUUACAAUCUCACUAGUUGUUACAUGUUGUGGAUAGUUAUUUUUAUAAACCUUUACAAUGUCACCAGAUGUUACAUGUUGUGAAUGGUUAUUUUUAUAAACCUUUACAAUGUCACCAGUUGUUACAUGUUGUGCAUAGUUAUUUUUAUAAACCUUUACAAUGUCACCAGAUGUUACCUGUUGUGAAAAGUUAUUUUUAUAAACCGUUACAAUGUCACCAGA
This is a non-coding RNA of Misgurnus anguillicaudatus (oriental weatherfish), 2079 nucleotides long. NCBI's taxonomy places the organism in Eukaryota, Metazoa, Chordata, Actinopteri, Cypriniformes, Cobitidae. The record is from RefSeq and is a predicted model, not a curated record.